GAUGAACGCUGGCGGCGUGCUUAACACAUGCCAGUCGUACGGUAAGGCCCUUUCGGGGGUACACGAGUGGCGAACGGGUGAGUAACACGUGAGUAACCUGCCCACAACUUUGGGAUAACGCUAGGAAACUGGUGCUAAUACUGGAUAUGUGCUCCUGCUGCAUGGUGGGGGUUGGAAAGCUCCGGCGGUUGUGGAUGGACUCGCGGCCUAUCAGCUUGUUGGUGGGGUAGUGGCCUACCAAGGCGGCGACGGGUAGCCGGCCUGAGAGGGUGACCGGCCACAUUGGGACUGAGAUACGGCCCAGACUCCUACGGGAGGCAGCAGUGGGGAAUAUUGCACAAUGGGCGCAAGCCUGAUGCAGCAACGCCGCGUGCGGGAUGACGGCCUUCGGGUUGUAAACCGCGUUCAGCAGGGACGAAGCUUUUUGUGACGGUACCUGCAGAAGAAGCACCGGCUAACUACGUG
RNAcentral lists this ribosomal RNA (465 nucleotides) under uncultured bacterium. Its description in RNAcentral is "partial 16S ribosomal RNA". It matches the Rfam family "Bacterial small subunit ribosomal RNA", at positions 28 to 507 of the family's 1533-position model. The record is from RNAcentral.